UGAGGAAUAUUGGGCAAUGCCCGCAAGGGUGACCCAGCAACGCCGCGUGGAGGAUGAAUGUCGUCAGAUUGUAAACUCCUGUUAGAGGGGAAGAAUAGUACCGGUUGGACCGGUAUAUGACUGUACCCUCAGAGAAAGCCCCGGCUAACUACGUGCCAGCAGCCGCGGUAAUACGUAGGGGGCAAGCGUUGUCCGGAUUUACUGGGUGUAAAGGGCGCGCAGGCGGGAUAAAAAGUCAGUGGUGAAAUCCUACAGCUUAACUGUAGGACUGCCUUUGAUACUUUUAUUCUUGAGUUCGGGGGAGAGAGACGGAAUUCCAGGUGGAGUGGUGAGAUACGUAGAUAUCUGGAAGAACACCAGUUGCGAAGGCGGUCUCUUGGUCCGACACUGACGCUGAGGCGCGAAAGCGUGGGGAGCAAACA
RNAcentral lists this ribosomal RNA (422 nucleotides) under uncultured bacterium. RNAcentral's name for it is "bacterial SSU rRNA". It matches the Rfam family "Bacterial small subunit ribosomal RNA", at positions 355 to 774 of the family's 1533-position model. The record is from RNAcentral.